AACGAAUGCUGGCGGCACGCCUAACACAUGCAAGUCGAACGCGAACGCACCUUCGGGUGUUAUUAGAGUGGCGGACGGGUGAGUAACACGUGGGAAUAUGCCUAUCAGUAGAGAACAACCAUUGGAAACGAUGGCUAAUACUCUAUACGCCCUUCGGGGGAAAGAAUUUCGCUGAUAGAUUAGCCCGCGGUAGAUUAGCUAGUUGGUAAGGUAAAAGCUUACCAAGGCGACGAUCUAUAUCUGGUUUGAGAGGAUGAUCAGACACACUGGGACUGAGACACGGCCCAGACUCCUACGGGAGGCAGCAGUGGGGAAUAUUGGACAAUGGGGGCAACCCUGAUCCAGCGAUGCCGCGUGAGUGAUGAAGGCCUUAGGGUUGUAAAACUCUUUCAGCGGGGAUGAUAAUGACAGUACCCGCAGAAGAAGCUCCGGCUAACUCCG
RNAcentral lists this ribosomal RNA (441 nucleotides) under uncultured Kordiimonadales bacterium. Its description in RNAcentral is "bacterial SSU rRNA". It matches the Rfam family "Bacterial small subunit ribosomal RNA", at positions 29 to 505 of the family's 1533-position model. Lineage: Bacteria; Pseudomonadati; Pseudomonadota; Alphaproteobacteria; Kordiimonadales. The record is from RNAcentral.